RNAcentral lists this ribosomal RNA (424 nucleotides) under Cheilodipterus macrodon (large toothed cardinalfish). RNAcentral's name for it is "partial 12S ribosomal RNA". It matches the Rfam family "Bacterial small subunit ribosomal RNA", at positions 915 to 1533 of the family's 1533-position model. Lineage: Eukaryota; Metazoa; Chordata; Actinopteri; Kurtiformes; Apogonidae. The record is from RNAcentral.
GGCGCUUCACACCCACCUAGAGGAGCCUGUUCUAGAACCGAUGACCCCCGUUCAACCUCACCUUCUCUUGUUCCCCCCGCCUAUAUACCGCCGUCGUCAGCCCACCCUGUGAAGGCCCAGUAGUGAGCAAAACUGGCACAGCCCAAAACGUCAGGCCGAGGUGUAGCGAAUGAGAAGGGAAGAAAUGGGCUACAAUUGCUAAAACAGCUAAAACGAAUUGUAAAGCUGAAAAUCGCAGACAUGAAGGAGGAUUUAGAAGUAAGGGGGAAAGCAGAGUGUCCCCCUGAAAUGGUUCUGAAGCGUGCACACACCGCCCGUCACUCUCCCCAAGCGGCACACAUAACAGUAACUAAAAACUUAAGCCUACAAAGGGGAGGCAAGUCGUAACAUGGUAAGUGUACCGGAAGGUGCACUUGGAAGAAAC